RNAcentral lists this ribosomal RNA (381 nucleotides) under uncultured marine Chaetocerotaceae. Its description in RNAcentral is "SSU rRNA". It matches the Rfam family "Eukaryotic small subunit ribosomal RNA", at positions 587 to 972 of the family's 1831-position model. Lineage: Eukaryota; Bacillariophyta; Thalassiosirophyceae; Chaetocerotales; Chaetocerotaceae. The record is from RNAcentral.
AGCUCCAAUAGCGUAUAUUAAAGUUGCUGCAGUUAAAAAGCUCGUAGUUGCAUUUCCGAGGCAAGGGAUUAGUCCGACCUUUGGUGGGUAUUUAAUCCUCUUGCCUCGUCCUUGAGUGGUGCUUCUUGGUAUUAAGUUAUCGAGGAGAUAGCCGCUCAUCGUUUACUGUGAGAAAAUUAGAGUGUUCAAAGCAGGCUUAUGCCGUUGAAUAUAUUAGCAUGGAAUAAUAAGAUAGGACCUCGGUACUAUUUGGUUGGUUUGAGAACCAAGGUAAUGAUGAAUAGGGACAGUUGGGGGUAUUCGUAUUCAGUUGUCAGAGGUGAAAUUCUUAGAUUUACGGAAGACGAACUACUGCGAAAGCAUUUACCAAGGAUGGUUUCA